RNAcentral lists this ribosomal RNA (492 nucleotides) under uncultured bacterium. RNAcentral's name for it is "partial 16S ribosomal RNA". It matches the Rfam family "Bacterial small subunit ribosomal RNA", at positions 29 to 507 of the family's 1533-position model. The record is from RNAcentral.
AGUGAACGCUGGCGGUAGGCCUAACACAUGCAAGUCGAACGGCAGCACAGUAAGAGCUUGCUCUUACGGGUGGCGAGUGGCGGACGGGUGAGGAAUACAUCGGAAUCUACUUUUUCGUGGGGGAUAACGUAGGGAAACUUACGCUAAUACCGCAUACGACCUACGGGUGAAAGCAGGGGAUCUUCGGACCUUGCGCGAUUGAAUGAGCCGAUGUCGGAUUAGCUAGUUGGCGGGGUAAAGGCGCACCAAGGCGACGAUCCGUAGCUGGUCUGAGAGGAUGAUCAGCCACACUGGCACUGAGACACGGUCCAGACUCCUACGGGGGGCAGCAGUGGGGAAUAUUGCACAAUGGGCGCAAGCCUGAUCCAGCCAUACCGCGUGGGUGAUGAAGGCCUUCGGGUUGUAAAGCCCUUUUGUUGGGAAAGAAAAGCAGCAGGUUAAUACCCCGCUGUUCUGACGGUACCCAAAGAAUAAGCACCGGCUAACUUCGUG